This 478-nucleotide ribosomal RNA is filed under the name uncultured bacterium. RNAcentral describes it as "bacterial SSU rRNA". It matches the Rfam family "Bacterial small subunit ribosomal RNA", at positions 151 to 624 of the family's 1533-position model. The record is from RNAcentral.
UCGAAAGGUGUGCUACUACCGCAUAAUCUCUGAGGAGAAAAGUAGGGGCUCGCAAGACCUUGCGCUCUUGGAGCGGCCGAUGUCUGAUUAGCUAGUUGGUGAGGUAAAGGCUCACCAAGGCGUCGAUCAGUAGCUGGUCUGAGAGGACGACCAGCCACACUGGGACUGAGACACGGCCCAGACUCCUACGGGAGGCAGCAGUGGGGAAUUUUGGACAAUGGGGGCAACCCUGAUCCAGCCAUGCCGCGUGAGUGAAGAAGGCCUUCGGGUUGUAAAGCUCUUUCAGUCGAGAAGAAAAGGUUGUGACUAAUAAUCAUAACUCAUGACGGUAUCGACAGAAGAAGCACCGGCUAACUACGUGCCAGCAGCCGCGGUAAUACGUAGGGUGCGAGCGUUAAUCGGAAUUACUGGGCGUAAAGGGUGCGCAGGCGGUUCUGUAAGUCAGAUGUGAAAUCCCCGGGCUUAACCUGGGAACUGC